GUCCAGCAGGAAAAGGGCGACGACGCCGUCUCGCCGGCCGACUGGCGGGAGAUCGGCCGCGAGGAGGCCCUGGGGAGGGACGCGCAGCUGCGGGCGGCGCUCGAAGAGUUGCCGGAUCAGUAGCGAAAUUCACUUAAAAGCCGUUCUCCUUGCGGUGUGAUCCCGGACAGGAUAGAGCAAAAAAGGAGAGGCAACCUUGUCCCAGAGAGUGCACGAGAGCGUGGAGGU
Molecule: unclassified non-coding RNA, 228 nt
Filed under: plant metagenome
Description: partial contains 5.8S ribosomal RNA, internal transcribed spacer 2, and large subunit ribosomal RNA
Source: RNAcentral